This 225-nucleotide unclassified non-coding RNA is filed under the name Hevea brasiliensis (rubber tree). The record is from RNAcentral. Lineage: Eukaryota; Viridiplantae; Streptophyta; Magnoliopsida; Malpighiales; Euphorbiaceae.
ACUUACGAGGUCGUGAAGUUUUUGGUAACUCAGGCCCUCCCUGCAUUCCUCCACCUUCAUUAUGUAUAUAGAUUCUGCAUAUGUGUUUUUUUUGCUUGUAGUAUACCAUAUGAUUUGUUUAUUCUACUUUAUGCAUAGGUAAGGAAUGAUUCAACUUUGAAUCAUGUGAUUUUUUAGAUGAAAAAUAUUUGUUAUUUUUCUGUUUGCUGAAUUGGCCAUUAUUAG